Molecule: long non-coding RNA, 261 nt
Organism: Nanorana parkeri
Lineage: Eukaryota; Metazoa; Chordata; Amphibia; Anura; Dicroglossidae
Exons: 3
Source: RefSeq, a predicted model, not a curated record
GCGUGCGUUCCACAGGACGGAAGUGGGCGGGUUGCGGUGUGUAUGAGGCGCGGGGGAUGCUGGGAGAGGGGAAUUCCCAGCACGAGGCGGCGGUGAGAGUCUGUACGGGAGGAUAGACACCGACAGAGAGCCCGGGGUGAGUGUUUUCUGAUGGAUCCUCCGAGUGACAACGGCAUGGAGCCGCCCCUGAGCCAGGAGACCUUCGAGGACCUCUGGAGUCUUUUGCCCGCCAUUCAGUCCGUUAAUUGCCCUGAAGAGGGA